This 424-nucleotide ribosomal RNA is filed under the name uncultured bacterium. RNAcentral describes it as "bacterial SSU rRNA". It matches the Rfam family "Bacterial small subunit ribosomal RNA", at positions 355 to 776 of the family's 1533-position model. The record is from RNAcentral.
UAAGGAAUAUUGGUCAAUGGACGAAAGUCUGAACCAGCCAUGCCGCGUGGAGGAUGAAGGCCCUCUGGGUUGUAAACUUCUUUUAUAUGGGACGAAAAAGGGCCUUUCCAGGUCAACUGACGGUACCAUGUGAAUAAGCACCGGCUAACUCCGUGCCAGCAGCCGCGGUAAUACGGAGGGUGCAAGCGUUAUCCGGAUUCACUGGGUUUAAAGGGAGCGUAGGUGGGCUGGUAAGUCAGUGGUGAAAUCUCCGAGCUUAACUUGGAAACUGCCAUUGAUACUAUUAGUCUUGAAUAUUGUGGAGGUCAGCGGAAUAUGUCAUGUAGCGGUGAAAUGCUUAGAGAUGACAUAGAACACCAAUUGCGAAGGCAGCUGGCUACGCAUAUAUUGACACUGAGGCUCGAAAGCGUGGGGAUCAAACAGG